RNAcentral lists this ribosomal RNA (482 nucleotides) under uncultured bacterium. RNAcentral describes it as "bacterial SSU rRNA". It matches the Rfam family "Bacterial small subunit ribosomal RNA", at positions 29 to 506 of the family's 1533-position model. The record is from RNAcentral.
AUGAACGCUGGCGGCGCGGAUUAGGCAUGCAAGUCGAACGCGAAAGCGGGGGCAACUCCGCGAGUAGAGUGGCGAAAGGGUGAGUAAUGCUUGGAUGACCUGCCUUCGAGACGGGGACAACAGUUCGAAAGGACUGCUAAUACCCGAUGGCCCUUUCCGGAUGCGUCCGGGAUGGUAAAUGGUUGAUUCCGCUCGAUGAGGGGUCCAAGUCCUAUCAGCUAGUUGGUGAGGUGACGGCUCACCAAGGCGAUGACGGGUAGCCGGACUGAGAGGUCGACCGGCCAUAUGGGAACUGAGACACUGUCCUGACUCCUACGGGAGGCUGCAGUCGAGAAUCUUCUGCAAUGGGCGCAAGCCUGACAGAGCGACGCCGCGUGGAGGACGAAGGCCCUCGGGUUGUAAACUCCUGUCACAUGUUAUGAACCGUACGGGUUGCACCCGUGCCUGACAAAAGCAUGAGAGGAAGUCACGACUAACUUCGU